UAGGCCUGAGCUUGUCGUGAGUCGGCGGGGGAUAAGCUUCGUCGUCUAUAAAGAACAGCCCAGACCGUCGUCUAAGGUCCCGAAGCCUGUGCUAAGUGGGAAAGGAUGUGGAGUCGCAUAGACAGCCAGGAGGUUGGCUCAGAAGCAGCCACCCUUGAAAGAGUGCGUAACAGCUCACUGGUCUAGUGGUUCCGCGCCGACAAUGUAGCGGGGCUCAAGCACACCACCGAAGACGCGGCAGUAUUUUGUACUGGGUAGGAGAGCGUCCCAUGAGGGGCGAAGCGGCCGUGUGAACGCGCCGUGGACUUCAUGGGAGUGAGAAUGCAGACAUGAGUAGCGAGAGACGGGUGAAGAUCCCGUCCGCUGGAUGACCAAGGGUUCCAGGGCCACGUUCAUCGUCCCUGGGUGAGUCGGGUCCUAAGGCGAGGCCGACAGGCGUAGUCGAAUGGAUGAACGGGUCGAUAUUCCCGUACCGGCUUUCAGCCGCCAAAACCGAGGCUUGGAGUACUAACCUCCGGGUCCGGGCUUACUGCUCCUUCGGGGGCGGGAUGCCCUGGCCUGUUGGGACCGAUCCUUGUAGUAGGUCAGCGCAGGAGUGACGCAGAAGGGUAGCCGGCCGCGGAGGUGGUCUUCCGUGGUCAAGCACGCAGGGCGUGGGACAGGCAAAUCCGUCCCGCAUGGGUCCGAGGUGCGAUGAUGGGGGCCUUAUGGCCCGAUAUCCGGUGAUCCCGGCUGCCGAGAAAAGCUUCGGCGUCAGGCUCAAAGCCGCCCGUACCCCAAACCGACACUGGUGGUCAGGUAGAGAAUACCAAAGCGAUCGAGCGAAUCCUGGUCAAGGAACUCGGCAAAUCACUCCCGUUCCUUCGGUUUAAGGGAGACCCCCGAUGGUGAACACACUUGCUGUGGGAGCUUUUGGGGGUGGCACAGACCAGGGGGUAGCGACUGUUUACCAAAAACACAGGUGCAUGCGAAGGCGCAAGCCGCUGUAUAUGCACUGACGCCUGCCCGGUGCCGGAAGGUUAAGAGGAUCCGUCAGCCUUCGGGUGAAGCGGUGAAUUCAAGCCCCGGUAAACGGCGGUGGUAACUAUAACCAUCCUAAGGUAGCGAAAUUCCUUGUCGGGUAAGUUCCGACCUGCACGAAUGGCGUAACGACUUCCCCACUGUCUCGACCAGGAGCUCGGCGAAAUUGCAGUACGAGUAAAGAUGCUCGUUAAGCGCAGAAGGACGAAAAGACCCCGGGACCUUUACUAUACCUUGGUAUUGGCAUUCGGUGUGGAUUGUGUAGCAUAGGCGGGAGGCCGAGAGGCGCGGUCGCCAGAUCGCGCGGAGCCGUAAGGUGAAAUACCGCUCUGUUCGCAUUGGAUGUCUAACCUCGAACAGUCAUCCUGUUCAGGGACAGUGCCUGGCGGGUAGUUUAACUGGGGCGGUUGCCUCCCAAAGAGUAACGGAGGCGCCCAAAGGUCCGCUCAGCCCGGUUGGCAAUCGGGUGGCGAGUGCAAGUGCACAAGCGGGCUUGACUGCGAGGACGACGGUCCGAGCAGGGACGAAAGUCGGGACUAGUGAUCCGGUGCCGGUGUACGGACGCGGCAUCGCUCAACGGAUAAAAGGUACCCCGGGGAUAACAGGCUGAUCAUUCCCAAGAGUCCAUAUCGACGGGAUGGUUUGGCACCUCGAUGUCGGCUCGUCGCAUCCUGGGGCUGGAGCAGGUCCCAAGGGUUCGGCUGUUCGCCGAUUAAAGCGGCACGCGAGCUGGGUUCAGAACGUCGUGAGACAGUUUGGUCUCUAUCCUCUGCGCUCGUUGGAAUGCUGAGGAGGCCUGCCCAUAGUACGAGAGGACCUGGGUGGACGAACCUCUGGUAUGCCGGUUGUCACGCCAGUGGCACGGCCGGUUGGCUACGUUCGGAAGGGAUAACCGCUGAAAGCAUCUAAGCGGGAAGCCUGCUCCAAGAUAAGCAUUCCGUGGAACCUUCGAGUUCCUGUAGUCCCCAUGCAGAACACGUGGUCGAUAGGCCGGACGUGGAAGCCCCGCGAGGGGUGGAGCAGGCCGGUACUAACGGACGAAAGGCAACACGAC
This 2074-nucleotide ribosomal RNA is filed under the name human gut metagenome. Its description in RNAcentral is "bacterial LSU rRNA". It matches the Rfam family "Bacterial large subunit ribosomal RNA", at positions 967 to 2925 of the family's 2925-position model. The record is from RNAcentral.